RNAcentral lists this ribosomal RNA (253 nucleotides) under uncultured prokaryote. Its description in RNAcentral is "partial 16S ribosomal RNA". It matches the Rfam family "Bacterial small subunit ribosomal RNA", at positions 524 to 776 of the family's 1533-position model. The record is from RNAcentral.
UACGGAGGGUGCAAGCGUUAUCCGGAUUCACUGGGUUUAAAGGGUGCGUAGGUGGGCAGGUAAGUCCGUGGUGAAAUCUCUGAGCUUAACUCAGAAACUGCCGUGGAUACUAUUUGUCUUGAAUAUAGUGGAGGUGAGCGGAAUAUGUCAUGUAGCGGUGAAAUGCUUAGAUAUGACAUAGAACACCUAUUGCGAAGGCAGCUCGCUACACUAUUAUUGACGCUGAGGCACGAAAGCGUGGGGAUCAAACAGG